RNAcentral lists this transfer RNA (71 nucleotides) under uncultured Enterocloster sp. It matches the Rfam family "tRNA". From Rfam's summary of the family: Transfer RNA (tRNA) molecules are approximately 80 nucleotides in length. Their secondary structure includes four short double-helical elements and three loops (D, anti-codon, and T loops). The record is from RNAcentral. Lineage: Bacteria; Bacillati; Bacillota; Clostridia; Lachnospirales; Lachnospiraceae.
GGAUUGUAGCUCAGCUGGGAGAGCGCCUGCUUCGCAUGUAGGAGGCCGAGGGUUCGAAUCCCUUCAGUUCC